AGAUUGAACGCUGGCGGCAGGCCUAACACAUGCAAGUCGAGCGGUAGAGAGGUGCUUGCAUCUCUUGAGAGCGGCGGACGGGUGAGUAAUGCCUAGGAAUCUGCCUAGUGGUGGGGGAUAACGUUCGGAAACGGACGCUAAUACCGCAUACGUCCUACGGGAGAAAGCGGGGGACCUUCGGGCCUCGCGCCAUUAGAUGAGCCUAGGUCGGAUUAGCUAGUUGGUGAGGUAAUGGCUCACCAAGGCGACGAUCCGUAACUGGUCUGAGAGGAUGAUCAGUCACACUGGAACUGAGACACGUCCAGACUCCUACGGGAGGCAGCAGGUGGGGAAUAGUUGGACAGGUGGGACGAAAGCCUAGAUCAGCCAUCGCCGCGUGUGUGAAGAAGGUCUUCGGAUUGAAAGCUACGUUUAAGUGGGAAGGUAAGGUUAGUAAACCGUAAUACGUUGACUAACGUUUGAACCGUUACCGACAAGUAAUAAGCAACCGGCUAACGUUCGUGACCUACGCAGGACCGUA
Molecule: ribosomal RNA, 520 nt
Filed under: uncultured soil bacterium
Lineage: Bacteria
Description: bacterial SSU rRNA
Rfam family: Bacterial small subunit ribosomal RNA
Source: RNAcentral